UGGGGGGCACUGUGAAGCUGGACAGGAGACAUGCCUACUACCAUCAAAUACAGGCUCAGCUCCACCUCGUUGAUGUUGACUACUGCGACUUUGUUGUCUGGACUAAAAAUGACCUCUUUGUAGAGAGAAUUGUGCGUGAUGUGGACCUGUGGGACAACAUCAUUCCCAGAGUUGAGCGUUUCUUCAGACUAUGUGUUCUCCCUGAAGUGUUGGGACAGUAACUUACAAGGGGAAAGUUUCAGUUGCAAGAUGAUCAGGAGGGAGAGAAGGCGUGAUUACCAGCACCUGUGGUCUGUCCUGGUCCCGGAAGUUGUGGUUCUCUCCUUGUUGCAUUAUUAUUACGUGCCGUAGUGGGUGCUGGUGUUUGGGUGUGUGUGGGUGUCUUUUUCUCUCUCCCUCUGAUCUCCCCAGGUGCUCCCAAUCUCCAAUCAGCGCCUCCAUAUAGGACAUGAGGAAGGUUGCAGUCGCUCUCCCCUUAUCUUAAGCUUUGUUUGACAAGUUGGCUGGUGAGCCCUUUUUCGUUGUGUUAAUUAAAAGACCACUUUAUGGCGUCAGAGAUCAGUUUCCUCUCCUUUUUCUCUCGGCCGGUUAUGUUGUGUGUCGCUACUUCCUUUUGUACCCCUAUAUUUACAAGGGAACGUAACAUUUGCACAGUGGCAGCUCUUUAACCUGCAUUAUAGCACCUUCAUAUUCACUGACCACACUCACUAGAGGAAGUAGGGCUGUGUGAUAUAUUGCUAUUGUAAAAAAGAUGUUUACUGAAAAGAUUAAAUGAUACUAAGACUGAA
Molecule: long non-coding RNA, 788 nt
Organism: Gymnodraco acuticeps
Lineage: Eukaryota; Metazoa; Chordata; Actinopteri; Perciformes; Bathydraconidae
Exons: 2
Source: RefSeq, a predicted model, not a curated record